RNAcentral lists this ribosomal RNA (400 nucleotides) under uncultured bacterium. RNAcentral describes it as "bacterial SSU rRNA". It matches the Rfam family "Bacterial small subunit ribosomal RNA", at positions 132 to 518 of the family's 1533-position model. The record is from RNAcentral.
CUAAGACGAGGAUAACGACUGGAAACGGUCGCUAAAACUGGAUAGGAUCAUUUGAGGCAUCUCGAAUGAUUUAAAGGGGCUUCAAGCCACACUUAGAGAAAGGCCUGCGGCGCAUUAGCUAGUUGGUGGGGUAGAGCCUACCAAGGCGAUGAUGCGUAGCCGGACUGAGAGGUCGAACGGCCACAUUGGGGACUGAGACACGGCCCAAACUCCUACGGGAGGCAGCAGUAGGGAAUUUUCGGCAAUGGGGGAAACCCUGACCGAGCAACGCCGCGUGAAUGAAGACGUAAUUUCGGUAUGUAAAGUUCUUUUAUUAAGGAAGAAUAUCACGGAUAGGAAAUGAUCUGUGAGUGACGGUACUUAAUGAAUAAGCCCCGGCUAACUAUGUGCCAGCAGCAGC